Molecule: ribosomal RNA, 133 nt
Filed under: uncultured bacterium
Lineage: Bacteria
Description: partial 16S ribosomal RNA
Source: RNAcentral
UAAAGGGAUACCGUCAAGGCCGGCUCUUCACCGGCUUUAUUCUUCUCCCUCCACAGAGCUUUACGAUCCUAGGACCUUCAUCGCUCACGCGGCGUGGCUGCGUCAGGCUUUCGCCCAUUGCGCAAUAUUCCCC